RNAcentral lists this ribosomal RNA (467 nucleotides) under uncultured bacterium. RNAcentral describes it as "partial 16S ribosomal RNA". It matches the Rfam family "Bacterial small subunit ribosomal RNA", at positions 28 to 507 of the family's 1533-position model. The record is from RNAcentral.
GACGAACGCUGGCGGCGUGCUUAACACAUGCAAGUCGAACGGAAAGGCCUCUUUCGGGGGGUACUCGAGUGGCGAACGGGUGAGUAACACGUGAGUAACCUGCCCUUGACUUUGGGAUAACUUCAGGAAACUGGGGCUAAUACCGGAUAGGAGCUCCUGCUGCAUGGUGGGGGUUGGAAAGUUUCGGCGGUUGGGGAUGGACUCGCGGCUUAUCAGCUUGUUGGUGGGGUAGUGGCUUACCAAGGCUUUGACGGGUAGCCGGCCUGGGAGGGUGACCGGCCACAUUGGGACUGAGAUACGGCCCAGACUCCUACGGGAGGCAGCAGGGGGGAAUAUUGCACAAUGGGUGGAAGCCUGAUGCAGCAACGCCGUGUGCGGGAUGACGGCCUUCGGGUUGUAAACCGCUUUCGCUCAUGACGAAGCUUUGUGUGACGGUAGUGGGUAAAGAAGCACCGGCUAACUACGUG